UGAAAUCGAAUAAUGAUUUUGAAAAAUAGAGUAAUUGGAGACCACUUGUUAUGUUGUAAAUUUAUGAUUUGAAAUCGAAUGGCUUAUGACAAUAUUUGCAUGAAUGGCUGAAUUGGUAUUUGUGUUGAAAUAUAUGAAAUGUGUAUUUAGCCUUGAAAGGCUGUGAAUUACAAUAAUUGUCAUAUCAUGUUGUUGAAUUUUAUUGUAUGGUGGGUUUAGCUUGCUACAGUUGGCGGAUUCUGUGGACCAGCCUAUUAGAAGGGCACAAAAUUCGGAUAUAUAUAUAUGUACCUCGGUCGAAGAGGCUCGUAGGGUAUCUCCUGAGGUAUGGAUAGAGUUCACGUCACGUCGAACCACCUCGUGAUGAAGAACUCUGCUAACGCCAAGGAACGGCUGUGUUUUUCUCAAACUAAAAAUAUAUUUUACGUGUAUGUGAAAUUUUAACAGCCUUGGCAGGCUCGAGUGUACGCCUCUGAUCAAGGUGUCGUCGUGUACUAUUUGAUGGCAUGAGCCAAAUGUUUAUAGAAGUCAAAAGCCUAAAUGAGAAAUUAAAUAAAAUACAAUCGUUUGCAUGGGUUGGGAUGAGUUUUCAAAUUUGAAAU
Molecule: long non-coding RNA, 602 nt
Filed under: Theobroma cacao (cacao)
Lineage: Eukaryota; Viridiplantae; Streptophyta; Magnoliopsida; Malvales; Malvaceae
Description: long non-coding RNA (TCAC_LNC006164)
Source: RNAcentral